CCCGUGCUACAACCGCGCGGAGCAGGUGUAAAGUGCCUAUUGGCCCCCUGUAUUCGGCGAGUCUGAGUUUAUUA
RNAcentral lists this small RNA (74 nucleotides) under Bacillus altitudinis. RNAcentral also lists the same sequence under 1 other name. Lineage: Bacteria; Bacillati; Bacillota; Bacilli; Caryophanales; Bacillaceae. The record is from RNAcentral.